RNAcentral lists this ribosomal RNA (460 nucleotides) under uncultured bacterium. Its description in RNAcentral is "partial 16S ribosomal RNA". It matches the Rfam family "Bacterial small subunit ribosomal RNA", at positions 338 to 795 of the family's 1533-position model. The record is from RNAcentral.
CCUACGGGUGGCAGCAGUGAGGAAUAUUGGACAAUGGACGGAAGUCUGAACCAGCCAUGCCGCGUGCAUGAUGACGGCUCUAUGAGUUGUAAACAGCUUUUGUACGAGGAUAAUAGUUCUUGCGUGUAGGCAUUUGGAUGUAUCGUACGAAUAAGAAUCGGCUAAGUCCGUGCCAGCAGCCGCGGUAAUACGGAGGAUUCGAGCGUUAUCCGGAUUUAUUGGGUUUAACGGGUGCGUAGGCUGUUUGAUAAGUUAGAGGUCAAAUGUCCGGGCUUAACCCCGUGCCUGCCUCUGAUACUGUUCGACUAGAGAGCGGAUGCAGCAGGCGGAAUGAGUAGUGUAGCGGUGAAAUGCUUAGAUAUUACUCAGAACACCGAUUGCGCAGGCAGCUUGCUAAUCCGCAUCUGACGCUGAUGCACGAAAGCGUGGGUAGCGAACAGGAUUAGAUACCCCUGUAGUC